UACAGAGGUCCCGAGCGUUGUUCGGAUUCACUGGGCGUAAAGCGCUCGCAGGUGGUUCGUCGCGUCGGGCGUGAAAGACCCCGGCUCAACUGGGGAGGGUCGUGCGAUACGGUCGGACUCGAGGCCAGUAGGGGGACGCGGAAUUCCGGGUGUAGUGGUGGAAUGCGUAGAGAUCCGGAGGAACACCAGCGGCGAAGGCGGCGUCCUGGACUGGUACUGACGCUCAGGAGCGAAAGCGUGGGGAGCGAUCCGG
This 253-nucleotide ribosomal RNA is filed under the name uncultured bacterium. RNAcentral's name for it is "partial 16S ribosomal RNA". It matches the Rfam family "Bacterial small subunit ribosomal RNA", at positions 524 to 776 of the family's 1533-position model. The record is from RNAcentral.